Raphanus sativus (radish) is the source of this 604-nucleotide long non-coding RNA. RefSeq lists it as uncharacterized. The transcript is spliced from 6 exons. NCBI's taxonomy places the organism in Eukaryota, Viridiplantae, Streptophyta, Magnoliopsida, Brassicales, Brassicaceae. The record is from RefSeq and is a predicted model, not a curated record.
GCUCAAGAAAUUUUGGUCGUUCACAACAAAGUACAACAUGCCAUUUUACUGGCGUUUUUUCUCUUUUCUCUUCUUUCCAAGAUUUCAUUCUCCAUAGAUGUGCACUAGAUCAAGGUGUGGCCGGGAAAAUGGUUCUGCUUUCUUGUCUCUGCUAUCCGGAUGUUUAGAUUGUGUCUUGGAUCUCUUCUUAUGGUAGUUGCUGGGUGCCAUAUUGUUAAAGGACAGAGAAAUCUGCAAUGAACGAUUGGAAGUCAAGGUUUUGACUGAAGUCUUCAAAGCUAUUUUUUAAGAUGGUGAUGAUGGCAGCAUAAUCAAAUUUCGGUCUAGAAUCUCACGUGGAGUGUUGACCUUGUUCUCAACAUUGGAUCAUUUACAACGCUCUCUAGAUAACUAAGAGAUUUCAACCACGUUAUAGUUUCAAGAGUGGACUAGUGGAAUGUCUCGAGAAUUCUGACUGGGAUGAGUUUGUGGAUGUAAGUCAAGGUUUUUAUGUUGCAAAAAACAUCAUUGUUGAUCAAGCAAUUUGACAAGUCUGAAGAAGCUUUAGUUGAGUUGCUUCAGAAACUGGAAUAUGUUGACAUAACAAUGAAAGAUCUUCAGGUAA